Salmo trutta (river trout) is the source of this 2252-nucleotide long non-coding RNA. Ensembl lists it as uncharacterized. NCBI's taxonomy places the organism in Eukaryota, Metazoa, Chordata, Actinopteri, Salmoniformes, Salmonidae. The record is from Ensembl.
AAGCUAUACCACUACUCUAAUGAUAGAUGAGUCAACACAAUCUGCUGCUGUGCACUCUAGUCUAAGAGACCGGCAGAGUAAUUUCCCUCCACUCAACAGCCAUCAAGCACUCAGCCUUUCAGCAUGCUCUAAGCAUGAGUAAAACAUAAUUUUCAGGGGAGGAGAGUUCAGUACAAUGCAUGAAUGGGCCAUGCCUUGCUGAGUAAAGAGUGAAAUGUUGCUGUACCUCUCUUGCAUAAAAAAGAAAGGAAAUAAUACCAUAAAAUAAUUUAUAACACCACAAUCACUUCCCUCCCCAUCUUUUGUUUCGUAGGCAUGGGUUCUGAACAGGUGGUCUGAAAACCAGGACACUUUACCUGCGCCUGAGGAGAAGAGAAGCCCUGACAACUAACCAAUGCAUUUGUUCAGGACUCCUGAAGGGAUGAGCUGGGCUGGAGGAUGCAUGGCAUCAUCGCGGGCAACAAGGACAUUUGUUAUACAGUAUGAGAUAUGGAGGAGGACAUGGAGAUUGACCGUAACGUCAUUGGGAUCCUUGGAGAGGACAUCUUCCUCCGCUGUCAGUACCUGGGACAGAAUGACAUCACAGACGCCUCAUGGAAACGCCCAGACUCUAGAAUGAAGAGAUCGAUGAAGAAAUUAACAGGCUACAAGAACAACAAGGCUUUCAGCAAAGACCCAGACUUCUCCGCCCCAGCCUCUCCCACCAAUCUGACUGUCAAGAUGAGGGUGUCUACUCUGGAGGCCCAGGGGGAGUACACAUGUGUGUUUGCCACUGAUGAAGAGGAGAUCACUAACAGCAUGUUUCUCACUGUCCUGGCUCGACCUGAUAUCCACACAGUGGUGACAGAGGACACAGACAACGCUACCCACUACCAGUCAGUCACAUGCUCAGCUACCAAUGGUAAACCUAUGGCUCUGAUUCGCUGGGAGAUCAACAGCAGUCCUCCUACUGACAACUCCUCUGUGGAGAUGAGGAACACCAGUUAUACCAAUGGCACUGCCACUAUGACCAGCAUCCUCCGCUUCCCUACCCACCUACAGGACCAGGACAGGGUGACCUGUGUGGUCCAGCACCCAACCCUGCCUGACCCCACCACACAUGUCACAGUGGGGGUGGAGACCUUCAGUAAGCCUGCCAGCUCAUGUACACAAGGACUGCAUCCUAAAUGACACCCUAUUCCCUUUAUAGAGCACUGCUUUUGACCAGGAAGAGGGACAAGAUUUGGGAUGCAUCCUUGAUGUGUAUGUUUGUGUGUACAGUACUUGGCAUUUCUUACUUUCGUGGGCAAGGAUUUAGUUUGGGAAGAGGUUAAUUCUGACAUGACCUGUGAUGCUAAGAAUCAAUGUCUGAGAAUGAUCUGUAGAUAUUGGAUUAUGCUGGGGCUGGCACCACCCUGAGCUCACUGGCACAGAUGUUUACUUUCCUUUCCCCAGCCUGUUGUUCCACAUGGUCACCUCCCCACUCCCCCACAUGUACCAGGUAUUGUGUGUUUCCUGUACAGUCCUCGCAAUCAGCUGUGGCACGACAGAGACAGAUCAUACACCAUCAUCAUAUUCUCAUCAUAUUUCGAUAUCCCUCCCUACCACAUUAGGAGACACGUUUUGAUAUACAGCCUGUAUCCAUAUGUCAAAGAGGAUCAUAUGACAGAAAUAUCCUCCCUUAUCCAUAUGUGGUAGUAUCAAACAAAGCCUUUGAUAAUCGGCAAUAGAGUGAUGCCUUUCAAUAUCAGCAGUCAGUUUGUAUUGAGAUGUGUGAAAUAGGGUGCUUCCCAAAUGGCACCUUAUUCCCUAUAUAGUGUACUACUUUUAACCAGAGUCCUAUAGGAAAUAUGGUGCCAUUUGGGAUGUAGGCAUAGUCCUGUAGUUCCAGCCCCACCAGCAGAUCUGCUCUCAGCUGCGGCCUGUUGAACAGAUGGAACAGGUGAGAAGAGUCAGCACUCUCCUCCUAAACCCAACCGGCAGCCCUGUUAUGCCCUGUGUUUAUCUUUCAUACGUCUAUCCUUUCACUUCAGCCUUCUCAAAAAUCUAAACCACAGCCCUAGAGGCCCAGACAUUAGAUUUAGGACUCACUGUUGUUAUACUGAUGGACCAUUCCCACCUGCUCAUGUAAAAUUAGUAUUUCUCUCUGCCUGCAGUGGCUCCCAAUGUGACCAUUGAGACAUACCUGGUUCUAGAGGACGGAGAGGAGUUCUGGGUGGUCACCUGUGGUGCUGCUGGAGGACGACCCCGAGCUGACAUCACCCUGGUGCUGC